UUGCCUCUCGAAAAACACGACCGUUGCACACGUGACAGAAUGCUGUCGGGGAGGUGCUUGUUGCCUCCUCGGCCCCACCGGCCUCGUCCCUCUAGCCCUUCGGGCGAGUUGGAUGCUGGCCGGAAUACGGCGCGGGAUGACGCCAAGGAACACGAUAAAAGCUAAGGCACCGGCUAGCCGUCAAAGGGCUUGCAUCGGGUGCCGAGGCCAAUGAAAAA
This 218-nucleotide unclassified non-coding RNA is filed under the name Carex scoparia. Its description in RNAcentral is "partial internal transcriber spacer 1". Lineage: Eukaryota; Viridiplantae; Streptophyta; Magnoliopsida; Poales; Cyperaceae. The record is from RNAcentral.